GGCUGGGUCCUGCGCAACGAAAACUAGUGAAACUGGUCAGGCCCGGAAGGGAGCAGCCAUAAGCUUUGUCUUUUGUGUGCCGCAGGGAAGCUCAGCCACC
This 100-nucleotide signal recognition particle RNA is filed under the name Oceanotoga teriensis. RNAcentral's name for it is "Thermotogales bacterium OCT74 Bacterial small signal recognition particle RNA". It matches the Rfam family "Bacterial small signal recognition particle RNA". Rfam says of the family: The signal recognition particle (SRP) is a universally conserved ribonucleoprotein involved in the co-translational targeting of proteins to membranes. Archaeal SRP consists of a 7S RNA and homologues of the eukaryotic SRP19 and SRP54 proteins. RNAcentral also lists the same sequence under 1 other name. The record is from Rfam by way of RNAcentral. Lineage: Bacteria; Thermotogati; Thermotogota; Thermotogae; Petrotogales; Petrotogaceae.